GCAUAUCAAUAAGCGGAGGAAAAGAAACUAACAAGGAUUCCCCUAGUAACGGCGAGUGAAGCGGGAAAAGCUCAAGCUUAAAAUCUCCAUAACUUUUAGUUGUGGCGAAUUGUAGUCUAAUGAAGCUGUUGUCAGCAUCGUUAUCUGGGUCAAGUCCCUUGGAAGAGGGCAGCAUAGAGGGUGAUACUCCCGUCUUUCCCUGGAUAAUGUUUGUGUACGACACGCUUUCUUUGAGUCGAGUUGCUUGGGAAUGCAGCUCAAAGUAGGUGGUAAAUUCCAUCUAAAGCUAAAUAUAGGUGCGAGACCGAUAGCGAACAAGUACCGUGAGGGAAAGAUGAAAAGAACUUUGAAAAGAGAGUUAAAGAGUACCUGAAACUGCUGAAAGGGAAUCGGAUCGUUUCCAGUGUUUUUAAUCCUUGGUAUAUUCCAGUGGGGAAUGGUGUUGUUGAUAUGUUUUGGUAUCAGUUUAUUCUGUGCCGGAUGUGUUGAUGAUGUUGUUUGCUGCUGCACUGUGCCUUGGUGUGACGUCAUAGUCAGUUUGUAUCUCGUGGGAAAUGAUCAUUGAGGAGGUAGUCUAGCAUUUAUGUUAGAUGUUAUAUCUUGGUGAUUAGUAGUCAUGGGUGAGACUGAGGGACCUACAACAUGCAAUAAGGGUAUUGAUGGGAUCUUGUUUGACAUAAUUUUAGGACAGCUUGUCUGUGCUUGAGUUUUUGUUGGAUAACUUUUCUGUUGACAACCUUCGCUGUUCGGGACUUUGGCGAAAUGGAACGAUCCGUCCCCGUCUUGAAACACGGACC
RNAcentral lists this ribosomal RNA (797 nucleotides) under Halioticida noduliformans. RNAcentral describes it as "eukaryotic LSU rRNA". It matches the Rfam family "Eukaryotic large subunit ribosomal RNA", at positions 38 to 667 of the family's 3401-position model. The record is from RNAcentral. Lineage: Eukaryota; Oomycota; Peronosporomycetes; Pythiales; Haliphthoraceae.